UACGGGGGGAGCAAGCGUUGUUCGGAUUUACUGGGCGUAAAGGGCGCGUAGGCGGUCGUGACAAGUCACUUGUGAAAUCUCCGGGCUUAACUCGGAACGGUCAAGUGAUACUGUCGGACUAGAGUACAGAAGGGGCAACUGGAAUUCUCGGUGUAGCGGUGAAAUGCGUAGAUAUCGAGAGGAACACCUGCGGCGAAGGCGGGUUGCUGGGCUGAUACUGACGCUGAGGAGCGAAAGCGUGGGGAGCAAACAGG
RNAcentral lists this ribosomal RNA (254 nucleotides) under uncultured bacterium. Its description in RNAcentral is "partial 16S ribosomal RNA". It matches the Rfam family "Bacterial small subunit ribosomal RNA", at positions 524 to 776 of the family's 1533-position model. The record is from RNAcentral.